AUGCACGCUGGCGGCGUGCCUAAUACAUGCCAGUCGAGCGAACAGACGAGAGUGCUUGCACUCUCUGACGUUAGCGGCGGACGGGUGAGUAACACGUGGGUAACCUACCUAUAAGACUGGGAUAACUUCGGGAAACCGGAGCUAAUACCGGAUAAUAUUUAGCUUCGCAUGAAGCAAUAGUGAAAGACGGUUCUGCUGUCACUUAUAGAUGGACCCGCGGUGUAUUAGCUAGUUGGUGAGGUAACGGCUCACCAAGGCAACGAUACAUAGCCGACCUGAGAGGGUGAUCGGCCACACUGGGACUGAGACACGGCCCAGACUCCUACGGGAGGCAGCAGUAGGGAAUCUUCCGCAAUGGACGAAAGUCUGACGGAGCAAUGCCGCGUGAGUGAAGAAGGUUUUCGGAUCGUAAAACUCUGUUGUAAGGGAAGAACAAGUACGUUAGUAACUGAACGUACCUUGACGGUACCUUACCAGAAAGCCACGGCUAACUACGUG
Molecule: ribosomal RNA, 498 nt
Filed under: uncultured bacterium
Lineage: Bacteria
Description: partial 16S ribosomal RNA
Rfam family: Bacterial small subunit ribosomal RNA
Source: RNAcentral